UCGUUACUCAACAAAAGAGUUUUGAAUUAAAACAAAAGAGAUACGUACACAAUAUUUUUGAAAAUCUUACAAUACCACUCAGUAGUGGUUCUCAAAAAUAUAAAGUUUUUGUCCUGUACAUAUUCAGAACAAGCUAUGCUAACUAUAAAUAGACUCCAAUGCUGAGUACAAAAAUAUUAAUUCACAACAAUUCUUUGCACAAGAGUUUCUCUUUUUGACUCCAAUUUUUGCAUAUCAACCUGAAAUAAAACCAAACAAUAAAAGCAACAAUUAGAAGUUAAAAAUAUAAGGUAACAAAAACCAGUUAGCAAGCCACUUCUAUAGAGUUAUACGGCAUAUGAUAUCACAUGAAAAGUUAGAAUCCGUGCAGCUUAAAAACAUUCCAUCAUACAAACAAAAAUGAAGAAUAGACUUACUUAUUACAAAGAAAAAUAAAACAAUAAGAAACUUCAAAUCUUCGAAUACGAGCCACAAUGUAAAUAUGUACCAUAAAGUAAGAAAAUGCAAAAGGUGCUUGAACACAUCUAUAUCUGUUUAGUUAACAUACAGAAUGAGAAGUUCUCUCUGUCCUUUUCCUCUUCCUAAUCUCUUCUAACUAAGCAUGACAUUUCGGUUUUAGGAUUAAAUGAUGUUUGCAUAAUCAUUUGGAUAGACUAAUAUCCUUUUCGCAAGUAAACCACAAGAAUUUUCUUUAUCUCAAUGAUAUUGUGAAGAGUAUAACCUUUGACGAGCUAGCAGACCUUGAGUAUGCUCCUAACACAAUUUAUUUUCAACACCUGCAUGGUAAUCUUGUUAGUAUUACAUUUUAGGUCUAACAACCAAGCAAGCGUCUAGAGGUAUUGAUAGGUAAUACAAACUAGAUAUUUACUUAUUUCAAUUGAAGGAGAUGAUCCUCUUGAGUGACCUACAGAUGAGAACCACAAUCAACUAGAUUCAGAGGCCAUAUUUGGUUAAUGACUAUGCUAUAGAGGUCAUUUUUCUCCUAUAAAUACAUAGUAAUAUCCAUAUUCUUACUCAUGAAAAGCAGAAUGUCAUCUCCUGUGAGGAAUCUAACAUUAUAAGUCGAUGAGGUUAGUUAUUUGGUGCUGCAAUUUCAAGUUUUUCUUCCUCUGGUGAACUGAUCUUGAGUAUUUAUGUGUCAAGAAAAUAUAAUCUUCCUUGUUAUUCUGCUAAAGUUUUGGCAUUAUAGGUAUAAAUAAGUUAUUCUAUCAUACUCAAUUAAAUGCAAAAGAGUGAUAUUUCCUGUAAGGCGUAGUUCAGUUUCUGACUUAUCCAAGUAAGAUUUCUGUAAUUUGGACCUGCAGGUACCUUUCUACACUCAUCCUACCACUAUUAGCACCUAUAAACCUAAUCAACUAAUUAAAUAAUUUACAUGGACUAAGAAAGAGCGUAACAAGGAUGAACUAUAACAACAUGACAGUAAAACAAUCAUAUUAAAGAUGUAAGAAUAGACAAAAUCCAAUAAAAGAAAGAAUCAACCACUGAAAUAAAAUAAAAAGUGCGAAUACACAAUGACAUUAAAAGGAAAAAGGUGUAGAUACUAAAGCUUUAUCCCCAGAAUGAUUCAAUUUCAUCACUCCACAAUAGUCAUUAUCUUGAACAUAAACAGCGAACUGUUAAAUGCAUAAAUAACCCUAUCUACCACUUUUCAAAAACAACAAACUUCAGUACAUCAUAAUAAAUGAAAGGGAAACCAUUUUAAAGGCAGGAAAUACAAUCCAGUGAACAUAAUAGAAUGAAAAUCACAAAAAAAAAUACUUAACGCACCCUAAUAACCUCGAUCAAAAAUCUGAGAAGUAUCAGUAGUAUCUGUCAUGUUUAGUGUUUUAGAACAAUCUAAGACCAACCUGGUUGCUUCCCCUUUCAAUUUUCGGUGUCACACUGAGAUUUGCUUAUCGCUAAUCGAGUGCGACUUUGAACUUCGAGAAUGUAAUUUGCAAUCCGAUCAAUUUUGUGAAUAUGAGAUGACACUAUCAAUUAUUUGUGUAUGAGGAAAGGGGAAGAUUGGAGGCACGGUUUUAAGAGGAAAGAUUGGGGGUAGG
This 2042-nucleotide long non-coding RNA is filed under the name Nicotiana tabacum (common tobacco). RNAcentral's name for it is "long non-coding RNA (NTAB_LNC005376)". Lineage: Eukaryota; Viridiplantae; Streptophyta; Magnoliopsida; Solanales; Solanaceae. The record is from RNAcentral.